Molecule: ribosomal RNA, 253 nt
Filed under: uncultured bacterium
Lineage: Bacteria
Description: partial 16S ribosomal RNA
Rfam family: Bacterial small subunit ribosomal RNA
Source: RNAcentral
UACGUAGGGUGCAAGCGUUAAUCGGAAUUACUGGGCGUAAAGUGUGCGCAGGCGGUUUUGUAAGUCUGUCGUGAAAGCCCCGGGCUCAACCUGGGAAUUGCGAUGGAGACUGCAAGGCUUGAAUCUGGCAGAGGGGGGUAGAAUUCCACGUGUAGCAGUGAAAUGCGUAGAGAUGUGGAGGAACACCGAUGGCGAAGGCAGCCCCCUGGGUCAAGAUUGACGCUCAUGCACGAAAGCGUGGGGAGCGAACAGG